Molecule: small nucleolar RNA, 107 nt
Organism: Raphanus sativus (radish)
Lineage: Eukaryota; Viridiplantae; Streptophyta; Magnoliopsida; Brassicales; Brassicaceae
Source: RefSeq, a predicted model, not a curated record
AAACCAUGAUGUGGGCACUCUCUGCGGUAGACAUUGAAUCGUUCCCAUGCAUCGCAAAACGGCUCAUCAGCUAGCUGCUUGAAGGUGGCGACCUUCUGUCUCAGAGC